Molecule: ribosomal RNA, 464 nt
Filed under: uncultured bacterium
Lineage: Bacteria
Description: partial 16S ribosomal RNA
Rfam family: Bacterial small subunit ribosomal RNA
Source: RNAcentral
CUACGGGACGCAGCAGUGGGGAAUAUUGCACAAUGGGCGCAAGCCUGAUGCAGCCAUGCCGCGUGUAUGAAGAAGGCCUUCGGGUUGUAAAGUACUUUCAGCGGGGAGGAAGGGAGUAAAGUUAAUACCUUUGCUCAUUGACGUUACCCGCAGAAGAAGCACCGGCUAACUCCGUGCCAGCAGCCGCGGUAAUACGGAGGGUGCAAGCGUUAAUCGGAAUUACUGGGCGUAAAGCGCACGCAGGCGGUUUGUUAAGUCAGAUGUGAAAUCCCCGGGCUCAACCUGGGAACUGCAUCUGAUACUGGCAAGCUUGAGUGUCGUAGAGGGGGGCGGAAUUCCAGGUGUAGCGGUGAAAUGCGUAGAGAUCUGGAGGAAUACCGGUGGCGAAGGCGGCCCCCUGGACGAAGACUGACGCUCAGGUGCGAAAGCGUGGGGAGCAAACAGGAUUAGAUACCCCAGUAGUC